This 692-nucleotide long non-coding RNA is filed under the name Bos grunniens (domestic yak). RNAcentral's name for it is "lncRNA (ENSBGRG00000025650.1)". The record is from RNAcentral. Lineage: Eukaryota; Metazoa; Chordata; Mammalia; Artiodactyla; Bovidae.
UCUUGUCGCGGCGUUCUUCACCAAGGUUCAAGGAUCCCAGGGCAAGUCCUGUAGUUGAGCUGCAAAAUGACCUCCUUCCCAUCUAUCCAGCUGGUUGUAGGGAGGGUCUCCUGAUAGUUUUCCUACUGAUUUUCCACAUCAAAAGACCAAAAUAAAUUCCCAGCUGAACUUGGAAAGAGCUGAGGACAAAGAAACCCAGAAAGAAAUCUUCUUAGGUGAGCACAGAAAGGAAACUGAGGCAGGCAGAGGCUUGUGAACUUAUACCUUUAUUAGAUAGUGUUAAGGUAGUUUUGGAAUUUUGGUUGGUGCCCACAGGCCCCUUUGCAUGGUGGGAAAACACAGGUUAAGAGCCAGGCAUACUUGAAUUGGCUGUCAGUUCCCCUACUUACUAAUUCUAAAAUACUGGUCAGUUCCCCUCUCUGACCAUCAGUUUCUUCAUCUAUGUAUUUGAAAUAAUAUCUAUCUCUCAAGGUUUUCCAUGUGAAGUACAGCCUUUCAGUGAAGUGCUUGUGCUUUUGUUAUCCUUAUUGUUGCAAUUGUAGGGGCGGGAAAUUUUUUCCUUCUUCGUUUCUAGGUUCUUUGGCUGGUCUAAUAAUUGACAUAUGACAGAUUAACAGGAGAAAAACUAAUUUAAUUUUUAAAUUAAUUUUAAUUGGAAGAUGAUUACUUCACAUAUUGUGAUGUUUUUGCCA